This is a non-coding RNA of Gymnothorax javanicus (giant moray), 72 nucleotides long. The record is from the annotation of a GenBank genome assembly. NCBI's taxonomy places the organism in Eukaryota, Metazoa, Chordata, Actinopteri, Anguilliformes, Muraenidae.
GACGCAGUGGCCAAGGGGCAAGGUGUCGGUCACGUAAAUCAAAGAGCAUGGGUUCGACCCCCAUCUAUGCCU